CGGCCAUUUUCCGACAAUACAUGAUAAGGUGGCUUCUAGGGCACGUGGUUCCAUCAUACUUGUUAAAGUCAGGAACCUUAAAUUUAUGGGGGAUGGCUAUAUUAGGGACCAAACAUAAUUCUAGGGCAUCCAGGAUCGUUCGUGAUAACUUCUUCGGAUUUGUAUGAACUAGCGGACCAAUCACUAAGUGGGAUGCUCCCUCCAGCAUGAGCGAACCUUUUCAGAACUACUUAGGAAUAGGCGCCACUAUCCCAGCCCGGAUCCAGCCUAGUGUAAUGUUAAGAAGUCAUGCGAUAUGAAGACAUUGAUAGCAAUAUGGGGGAAGUUCCCAUCAGGCAAC
Molecule: long non-coding RNA, 340 nt
Filed under: Elaeis guineensis (African oil palm)
Lineage: Eukaryota; Viridiplantae; Streptophyta; Magnoliopsida; Arecales; Arecaceae
Description: long non-coding RNA (EGUI_LNC018409)
Source: RNAcentral